This 204-nucleotide long non-coding RNA is filed under the name Elaeis guineensis (African oil palm). RNAcentral describes it as "long non-coding RNA (EGUI_LNC078340)". Lineage: Eukaryota; Viridiplantae; Streptophyta; Magnoliopsida; Arecales; Arecaceae. The record is from RNAcentral.
UUUGAGGAGUUAAAUCACCAGUUUGGAGAAGAGGGGAUGAUUCUAGGACAAGCUCGAACCACCCCAAAUGAGGAAGGGAGAGGAGAGGAAGUUGGUUCCUUAACGGGUGAUUUGAGGAGUGAAAAUUGGUGGGAGGAGAUAUUGAGAGAAAUCUUUGGUUUGAGGGAGAAGAGAUGGAGAGCUUUUGGUUCGGUGGAAGGAAGA